AUGAUGACCAUGCCAGCAUACCAGCCUAUGCCCGCCAUGGGAGGAAUGAUGCCCGGACUAGGUGGAAUGGGGACAAUGCCAGCUAUGAUGAUGCCCCAGGCUCAGCCUGUAAUGCCAUCGGUGGAUCCCAACCAAGUGGCAGCACAGCAACAAGCCUUCAUCAACCAGCAGGCAUUGCUUCUGGCUCAGCAGAUGACUCUUCAAGCCAUGACACUUUCUCAGCAGCAGCAAGGGCAACAACACCGGCAAAGGGAGAGGUCUCCUGAAUUCCCAAGAGCAAGGCGAUCACCCUCAAGAAGGUGGUCACCAGAACCUUCAAGGCCAUGGCGAGGGUCUCCACCAAGGUCACCUGAAUUUUCAAGGCCAAGGAGAACAUCAACAAAGAGAAGGUCACCUGAACGUUCAAGGGCCAGGCGGGCAUCACCACAAGAUGAAUCACCUGAAUAUUCAAGGCAAAGACAAGAUUCUCCUCCACCACCUCAGUCUUCUCUAGCUGCUAAACCCAAACACGUUAAUAGUAGCCAAAAGAAAGUAUCUACUAUUCACCAGUCAGAAUCUCCUCCUGGGGCUCCAGAGGUGAUCCACAUCUACCAAGAAAAGGAGGACCCAGGCAUCAAAGCAGGCACCCUUUCAAAAGAAACUAUCCGGAAAAAAAUUGAUUACUUCCAAAAAAUUGGGCAACAACCAAGUCCUAUGAAGUCAAUAAUUCCCCCAUCGAAGACCUGGAAUCCUCCAAAUAAACUACAACCAGAGGAUCAGCAGAAGCUUCAAAAUGCAGGUAUGAAAGAAAAUAACCAAGCCCAACCCACUCAGCUGGCACCAGAACCAAGCCAGGAGAUAAAGAACAUUGUUAAAACACACCAGAAUCGUCCAGUCCCACCACCCAUACCCGCCAAGCCUCCCAGAAAUAUUUCUAAACCUUUUGUGAAAAAACAUGACCCAAAGGAGGAAGCCCUGGCAAAGCUGGGGAUCGCAGGAUUGGAUUCUUCUCCGGUAAGCAUUUGUUUACCACUUCAUGUCAUUAUAAGGUGAGCGAAUAUGAUCCAGUAGCCAAGGUCUGGUUGGGAUUUUCAAGUUCACAUUUCCAGACAACCAAUGAUGCUCUCUAGGUAGCUUUGGGCAAGUAACUGUUUCCCAUCCUAAUCUAUCUCACAGGCUUGUUGUGGGGAUAAAAAUUGUAUAAACUUUACAUGGCACCCUGACUUCCUUGCUGGAGAAGAAAGAUACACAUAUGCUGAAUCAGGGCCGUAGCCAGAAAAAAAAUCGGGGA
This 1270-nucleotide long non-coding RNA is filed under the name Anolis carolinensis (green anole). Its description in RNAcentral is "lncRNA (ENSACAG00000034613.1)". Lineage: Eukaryota; Metazoa; Chordata; Lepidosauria; Squamata; Anolidae. The record is from RNAcentral.